Molecule: long non-coding RNA, 519 nt
Filed under: Homo sapiens (human)
Lineage: Eukaryota; Metazoa; Chordata; Mammalia; Primates; Hominidae
Description: non-protein coding lnc-CACNA2D3-5:2
Source: RNAcentral
AUAGGCCCUGAUCAGGAAGUGAAGACAACAUGACUGUGGAGAAGAGAGCCGGGAAGGGAAGAAGCUCAAUAAUGAGUGCAUUCUAGGCCAGCUUCCCCAGAGCAUCAAGGUUGAUGGAAGAACAUGAGGGGAAGUGGCAUGAGAGCAAGCCCGUGCUCUCCUCUACAGAGACAGAAGCCAGACAUGCCUUUUCCAUGUGCUGAUCUCCAAGUCCCAGCUAGUAGGUCACAUGACAUCACAGUCCUGCUCUUCCUCAAUGUGAAUGUCUCCACCAUCUACCCAUUUGCCCAAGUGGGAAACCUGGCCAGGGAUCCUGAGUGCCUCCUGUCUGUCUCACCUCCCCGUAUCCAACUGUCCCCAAAUAACUUCCAAACCACCCACUUGACGCUCUGCCUCUCCCCUCUUCCUGUGUUGAGAACACCACCUCCCCUCACCUGGAAGAUUCCAAUCACCUCUGUUCCCAGCCUGGCCUCUCUGUGGUGCCUGUGGCUCCCCCAUCUCCAGGCUAGUCACCACCAG